Molecule: ribosomal RNA, 1195 nt
Filed under: Microbacterium sp.
Lineage: Bacteria; Bacillati; Actinomycetota; Actinomycetes; Micrococcales; Microbacteriaceae
Description: bacterial SSU rRNA
Source: RNAcentral
CAUGCAAGUCGAACGGUGAACAUGGAGCUUGCUCUGUGGGAUCAGUGGCGAACGGGUGAGUAACACGUGAGCAACCUGCCCCGGACUCUGGGAUAAGCGCUGGAAACGGCGUCUAAUACUGGAUAUGAGCUGCGACCGCAUGGUCAGCAGUUGGAAAGAUUUUUUGGUCUGGGAUGGGCUCGCGGCCUAUCAGCUUGUUGGUGAGGUAAUGGCUCACCAAGGCGUCGACGGGUAGCCGGCCUGAGAGGGUGACCGGCCACACUGGGACUGAGACACGGCCCAGACUCCUACGGGAGGCAGCAGUGGGGAAUAUUGCACAAUGGGCGGAAGCCUGAUGCAGCAACGCCGCGUGAGGGAUGACGGCCUUCGGGUUGUAAACCUCUUUUAGCAAGGAAGAAGCGAAAGUGACGGUACUUGCAGAAAAAGCGCCGGCUAACUACGUGCCAGCAGCCGCGGUAAUACGUAGGGCGCAAGCGUUAUCCGGAAUUAUUGGGCGUAAAGAGCUCGUAGGCGGUCUGUCGCGUCUGCUGUGAAAACCCGAGGCUCAACCUCGGGCCUGCAGUGGGUACGGGCAGACUAGAGUGCGGUAGGGGAGAUUGGAAUUCCUGGUGUAGCGGUGGAAUGCGCAGAUAUCAGGAGGAACACCGAUGGCGAAGGCAGAUCUCUGGGCCGUAACUGACGCUGAGGAGCGAAAGGGUGGGGAGCAAACAGGCUUAGAUACCCUGGUAGUCCACCCCGUAAACGUUGGGAACUAGUUGUGGGGUCCAUUCCACGGAUUCCGUGACGCAGCUAACGCAUUAAGUUCCCCGCCUGGGGAGUACGGCCGCAAGGCUAAAACUCAAAGGAAUUGACGGGGACCCGCACAAGCGGCGGAGCAUGCGGAUUAAUUCGAUGCAACGCGAAGAACCUUACCAAGGCUUGACAUACACGAGAACGCUGCAGAAAUGUAGAACUCUUUGGACACUCGUGAACAGGUGGUGCAUGGUUGUCGUCAGCUCGUGUCGUGAGAUGUUGGGUUAAGUCCCGCAACGAGCGCAACCCUCGUUCUAUGUUGCCAGCACGUAAUGGUGGGAACUCAUGGGAUACUGCCGGGUCACUCGGAGGAAGGNGGGGAUGACGUCAAUCAUCAUGCCCUUAUGUCUGGGCUUCMNCAUGCUACAUGGCCGGUACAAGGCUGCAUACCGUAAGGGGASSA